CCACUUGAAGAUGAAGAAUUGGUUUCCUAUCUACUAGCGGGAUUCGACAUCGACUAUAACCCGCUGGUAUCUUCUAUUGUUACAUGCUCUGAAACUAUAUCUAUGAGUGAUCUCUACUCGCAGAUGGAGAGCUAUGAUA
Molecule: small nucleolar RNA, 139 nt
Organism: Panicum virgatum (switchgrass)
Lineage: Eukaryota; Viridiplantae; Streptophyta; Magnoliopsida; Poales; Poaceae
Product: small nucleolar RNA Z247
Exons: 1
Source: RefSeq, a predicted model, not a curated record